UACGGGGGGGGCAAGCGUUGUUCGGAAUUACUGGGCGUAAAGGGCGCGUAGGCGGCCGCCUAAGUCAGACGUGAAAUCCCUCGGCUCAACCGGGGAACUGCGUCUGAUACUGGGUGGCUUGAAUCCGGGAGAGGGAUGCGGAAUUCCAGGUGUAGCGGUGAAAUGCGUAGAUAUCUGGAGGAACACCGGUGGCGAAGGCGGCAUCCUGGACCGGUACUGACGCUGAUAUACGAAAGCGUGGGGAGCAAACAGG
Molecule: ribosomal RNA, 253 nt
Filed under: uncultured bacterium
Lineage: Bacteria
Description: partial 16S ribosomal RNA
Rfam family: Bacterial small subunit ribosomal RNA
Source: RNAcentral